RNAcentral lists this non-coding RNA (26 nucleotides) under Homo sapiens (human). Lineage: Eukaryota; Metazoa; Chordata; Mammalia; Primates; Hominidae. The record is from RNAcentral.
UACGGAAGGGGACGCUUUGAAGGAAC